Molecule: unclassified non-coding RNA, 428 nt
Filed under: Hevea brasiliensis (rubber tree)
Lineage: Eukaryota; Viridiplantae; Streptophyta; Magnoliopsida; Malpighiales; Euphorbiaceae
Source: RNAcentral
UUCUUCUUCUUCUUUUCUCUUGACAUCUGUUUAUGUCUAUCUAUUUCCUUUUUCUUUCUCUUUUGAUGUCCUACAUUACAAGGAAAGUGUUUAACCAUUGGUUACUGGCAAAUGAGCUAUGCAUGUCUGUUUUGAUAGUGAGGGUACUAGGCCCUCUAUAUUUGAAUUAUCAUUAUCUUGUUUGGUUAACAAGGACAUGGAAUGGGAUAUACACCCUGAUUUCUAGUACUUGACGCCCCCUUUGAAAUGACAAUCAAGUACUAAAUACCUUUUUCUUGAUUUCUCAUUCUCAUUCCUAUAUUCUAGUUAUCAAACACUCAAUUAAUGUGAUGGAUUUUAAUUUCUAUUCUUAUUUUUCUUUCCUAGUAAGGAACCAAUACAGGUUAAGCAGUGUUGCCAAAAGUGCUAAGCGCCCUUAAGGCGAGAAG